UCGGAUUCAGAAGUCGAGAAGACGUUGGAACGGUUGGGCUUGAAAGACGGCAUGGAAGCGGCAGUGGACGGAGCCUUUGCGUGCGCCCAAUUCGCGGCGUCCGAAUGCUCAUGGAGUGUGGCUUCACGCUCGUGCCCGGUAGUCCCCCGCUUCAACGGCUGUCCAAUCGGAGCCAGGAACUCUCCAGUCACGUCCGCGCUAUACGCCUUCAUAGGAGUGGGAGGGAAUGUUUAAUGUUGGUAUGUCCAGCACAUUGACAGCUUCAAUUCGAGAAUGUACAUCAAAUAUGGCUUUUGGCAAAAAUAAAAGUAACGAGAAAGCUGACCGUGCAACCGUGGAGCAGAUCGACUUCUGGACAAUGAUGAGAAGUUGACAAGGAACACAACAAGAAAGAUAAAACCAAGGUUACCAAAAGAGCCUCAACAUCUACAGAAUAAGGUGAAUCAGAGACGACCAUCUGAUGAUUCCGAAUCAUCAAGGGGACUUCUGCUGGAUUGCCUAUUCAGCCAGCCUCCAUCUUUCCAGCACAUUUUGCAAUUGCAGAGUUGGAUGCUAUUCGAUCCGUUCUUAAAGAGAGGGAGAGCAUCAUUGAGAGGCUGCAGAAGCAGGAGGAGAAUGUGCUCGGCGAGGUAAUCCAAAGAGCCAAGGAACUUCGUGAUAAGGAGUUCAAUUCGCCAACUAAAAUGCAUCUCAGUUCUCCAGCUAAAAUACAUUAAUGAAGGAAGUUGAAUGCGUGUUGGGUUUGGGAGUUGUUGAAUACUGUUUCGACCCAUUUUAAUUGUAUUAGGUCUAAUCCGAAGGCCUUUACCCUUUCCUAAGUGUAUAGGUCCAACUUCCAAUUUGUCUCGAUUACGGCAACAAAAGAAAUGAAGCGGUCCAUCAAUUCCUUCCAUUUGAUUUGAAUAGUUAAGGUUUCACGGAUGAUUUAAGCUGUAAUCAAUCUUUCGAGGGGUCCGUUCAUGCUGGAUGACCAUGUGUUGCCACAAA
Eucalyptus grandis is the source of this 987-nucleotide long non-coding RNA. RefSeq lists it as uncharacterized. The transcript has 3 exons. The record is from RefSeq and is a predicted model, not a curated record. NCBI's taxonomy places the organism in Eukaryota, Viridiplantae, Streptophyta, Magnoliopsida, Myrtales, Myrtaceae.